UAUGAUCUUGUAAGUCGUCAUCGGGAAAGAGUAUUUUAAAACACAAGAAUAUGGUCAUUAUCAUGUAUAAUAAGUGAUAAAUAUCAUGUAUGGAGGGUUUCGGAAUAUUUCGAGAUCGAGCAAGUUGAAGAAAAUAAGUUCGACGAAAAUUUGAGAAAUGCUGGACAAAUUUUUAGUCAACUUUGGAGGGGUAUAUCUCUAUGCAUAUUUGGAGUUUUAAGGCGUUUCAAAAGCCUAAAAUGAAGUUCGUCAAGUCUAGUUUAUGAUUCAACAAACCACUCAUCGAUAGGACGUCGGAGUAGAGAAUUAUAGACGCUACAAACUGAACUGUCGCGCAGAAACAGCACUGCUACAGUACGCUACAGCACUGCUACAGUACUGUAGCUACAGUGACGCCGUUUCAGCCCUUAUAAAAAGGGGCAAAACCCCAUUUUUAUCAUCUAAAAACUUCUCAAAUUUUCCAGAAAAUUCAGCAACAAAAAGGGGCCUAAAUCUCACAUAAAAGUGAGGAUUGUGAGUGAAAUUUCAAGCUACGAAGUACUAAUCGAAGUCCGGGCAACGCAUAAUCACGAAUAUAAUUUUGUUUGGAGUUAGAGGAGCAUGGGAACAAUAAGAUGUUGAAGGAUUUGCUACUUUCAUAAAAACAAGGUUUUGGACGAAACGGGAUUUGAGUUUUGGCAAGCGUAAAGGGCAAGAAAGGUACAGACUACAGAUUUGCUGACCCACCUGCCUAGGACACCUAUUCUGCUAUUCUGGAGCGCUCUUUUGUCCAGAGCCUAUACUCUGGUACAGUCUGCUGCUGUUGGAUAUAUGUACGCUAUUCAUGGGUACGACGGGGCCCUGUCCUGUCUUAUGUUUCUGUUAUGUUCUGUAGAGGUCUGUAGACAUACAUGUGGGUUCUGUAUAUGUUUUGGGUUGCUAUGAUUUGUGAUAGCCUUAUCGGCUUCCAUGUGUUAUAUAUGUUCCUCUAUGACACUAGUAAUGUCGACUGACUUUUAUAUUUAUAUAAUCUGCUAGUCUGCUGGUUUGGAUUAUUGGGUACGUUUGGGUGUCCAGCACGGACACUAGUCACGGCCUACGGGGUUGGGUCGUGACAGUUAUAUCAACAUCUUUUGAAC
Molecule: long non-coding RNA, 1118 nt
Organism: Lycium barbarum (goji berry)
Lineage: Eukaryota; Viridiplantae; Streptophyta; Magnoliopsida; Solanales; Solanaceae
Exons: 3
Source: RefSeq, a predicted model, not a curated record